Molecule: long non-coding RNA, 1419 nt
Organism: Cyprinus carpio (common carp)
Lineage: Eukaryota; Metazoa; Chordata; Actinopteri; Cypriniformes; Cyprinidae
Exons: 4
Source: RefSeq, a predicted model, not a curated record
ACGCCCCUAAAUCCUAAACUGGCACAUAAAGAAAUGUUAGAGUUUCCUACUAAUAAGUACGAUUUGGUGGUUGCGUUCAUGAGCGUUGAACUCCUAAAUACAAUCUUUGCUACAUGAUUUGAACGAACCAUCAGUGUUUUAGCACCACUAAACACCAAAUAUAUGGUAUCUGCAGCAGCACGUGACCCAUAACUCAAAUCUUAUUGGUCGGCGCGCUCUCAGCCUAAACGAACACAAAUCGACACACUCACCGAUGAAAAAAAUGUUCGGGUCGAAUACUCCCUAGAGAAAGAAUCCUGCCAAGAGAGCUGGAUGCCACAUCCUUCUCAUCUGUGAGGUUGUUUAAUGAUGAACCCCAGACACAUGUGUGCUGUCGCCACCAUACAACCCAGCACCAUAUACAGCCCAAAUGACCCAGCCACCGAGGAUCAGAAUCUACACACUAAGUGGCCCCAUCAAAUAAGCCAGCAUAUUAAGCAUGGCCAAGAACCGAAUAUAUGGAUUUGUGGUUUCAACCAAGACUUUUCAGGGUACAGAUCAGGGGAUAUUUCAGGACAGUCUUCACCUCACAACGCCUCCAGGCUUUCAUAUCUCUGUCCAAACAGAGCAUCCAAGUAGCGUAUUAUUUUUGCUCUGUAGAAAGAUCUCAAGUCCUCGCUCAAGGCUUCAACAUCAGGAUUCAUAGACAUAAGAGCUAAGAGGAACUGAAAUAGCUUCUCAUGUCAACUUCUGCUUAUGGACAGCACCGCACACAGCUUGUGUAGAGUCUGUACAUGGAGGAAUCCUAACCAGUAUGGCUUUGGUUCUUCUGUAGGACACAAAUAAGAUACUUUGAAGAAUGUUUGAACUGUUUUUGACCAUUUGCUUUCAUUGUAUGGACACAGAGACAUUUCUUUAAUAUCUUCUUUUUGUGUUUUCAGUCAUACAGGUUUGGAGCAACACAAGAUUUAGUAAAUUAUGGAAGAAUUGUUUUUUGGGUGGACUGUUCUUUUAAUUCCAGUGAGUUUCUUUAAACAAGGACAAGCCUCUUGUCCAUCUGUGUCUCAAUGAAUUUAAGUUAGUGAGUAAAGUUGCAGAGGAAACAGCACACCCACUCUGAGGUGCCUCACAUCUUCUGCUCAGGUUCUUGCCACAGAUUCAGGCGAAUUUGAAGAGAUGUUCCAACCUGUCCUCCAUCCAGGUCUGGCAGCACACCCACGCUUUCUGUGGGCUGUCUGCAUGCAUAUUUAUGUUCCAGUAAUGCCUGAGAAGAAACAUGAGUCACAAGAGGGGGAGAAAGAAUACAAAUGUGGCACGGUAGCCCACACUAUCAGUCUUGUUAUAAAAUAGAAAACAGUACUUUGGAUUAUUUCAGUAUUUGCAUAGUCUCUGAAUGCAUGUUUCACUCAAAAAAUUUCUCACCCUUUGCCAUUUCAAACC